CUUGAAGACGACGAGGUAGAUAGGGCAGAGGUGGAAGUGCAGUAAUGCAUGGAGCUGACUGUUACUAAUAGGUCGAGGGCAUAACCAAG
This 89-nucleotide ribosomal RNA is filed under the name Drancourtella sp. An57. RNAcentral's name for it is "partial 23S ribosomal RNA". It matches the Rfam family "Bacterial large subunit ribosomal RNA", at positions 2837 to 2925 of the family's 2925-position model. The record is from RNAcentral. Lineage: Bacteria; Bacillati; Bacillota; Clostridia; Eubacteriales; Oscillospiraceae.